GAUGAACGCUGGCGGCGUGCCUAAUACAUGCAAGUCGAGCGAACAGAUGCGGCGCUUGCUCCUCUGACGUUAGCGGAGGACGGGAGAGUAACACGUGGAUAACCUACCUAUAAGACUGGGAUAACUUCGGGAAACCGGAGCUAAUACCGGAUAAUAUAUUAAACCGCAUGGUUCAAUAGUGAAAGACGGUUUUGCUGUCACUUAUAGAUGGAUCUGCGCCGCAUUAGCUAGUUGUUAAGGUAACGGCUUACCAAGGCAACGAUGCGUAGCCGACCUGAGAGGGGGAUCGGCCACACUGGAGCGUGAACACGGUCCAGACUCCUACGGGAGGCAGCAGUAUGGAACCGUCCGCAGUGGGCGAAAGCAUGACGGAGCAACGCCGCGUGAGAGAUGAAGGUCUUCGGAUCGUAAUACUCUGUUAUGAGUGAAGAACAAAUGUGGAAGGAACUAUGCACGUCGUGACGGUAACGAGUCAGAAAGCCACGGCUAACUACGUG
Molecule: ribosomal RNA, 497 nt
Filed under: uncultured bacterium
Lineage: Bacteria
Description: partial 16S ribosomal RNA
Rfam family: Bacterial small subunit ribosomal RNA
Source: RNAcentral